Molecule: long non-coding RNA, 411 nt
Organism: Gadus macrocephalus (Pacific cod)
Lineage: Eukaryota; Metazoa; Chordata; Actinopteri; Gadiformes; Gadidae
Exons: 3
Source: RefSeq, a predicted model, not a curated record
CGACUUCAGGUAUUAGGCAAGCGAGUUUAGCCAAGCGAGUACAGGCAAGCGAGUCAAGCUAAGCGAUUUAGGUUUUAUGCAAGCGAGUUCAGGUUUUAUGCAAGCGAGUUCAGGUAUUAGGCAAGCGAGUUUAGGCAAGCAAGUUCAGGUUUUAUGCAAGCGAGUUUAGGUUUUAUGCAAGCGAGUUUAGACAAGCGAGUUUAGGCAAGCAAGUUUAGGUAAGAGAGUCAAGUUACUUUAGGCCUCACUUUAUUUGCGGUUAAAUUGCGGCAUUAGGUUUAGAAAGAAGGUUAAGAUCCAGGCUCAGGUUUGCUUCCAGCCUCGUCCCUCUAGUCGCUCCCUAUAAAGAGGGUUCCCAGCUACCGUGUUAAAAUACAACAGCUGGGAUUACAGAUAUGGAGUACAGAAAUA